Leopardus geoffroyi (Geoffroy's cat) is the source of this 233-nucleotide long non-coding RNA. RefSeq lists it as uncharacterized. The record is from RefSeq and is a predicted model, not a curated record. The transcript has 2 exons. Lineage: Eukaryota; Metazoa; Chordata; Mammalia; Carnivora; Felidae.
CAUUUUGUAAGGAAACCCCAACAAAGACUCUCCUUGACAAAACUUGAGUCAGGGGGUGCCAGGGUGGCUCAGUGGGUUCAGUGUCCAACUUUGGCUCAGGUCAUGAUCUCAUGGUUGGUGAGUUCGAGCCCGGUGUGCGCUCUGUGCUAACAACUCAGAGCCUGGAGCUUGCUUCAGAUUCUGUGUCUCCUUCUCUCUCUGUCCCUUCCCCACUUCUGCUCUGUCUCUCUUUC